RNAcentral lists this long non-coding RNA (1131 nucleotides) under Carassius auratus (goldfish). RNAcentral's name for it is "lncRNA (ENSCARG00000022766.1)". Lineage: Eukaryota; Metazoa; Chordata; Actinopteri; Cypriniformes; Cyprinidae. The record is from RNAcentral.
AUGAACCGACCUGAAUGGAACUCAGCGGACAGGAGGCAAUGCUGGAUGCCCGUGCCAGCAGCGUCGAGAGCUGGCGUGCCCGUGCCAGCAGCGUCGAGAGCUGGCGUGCCCGUGCCAGCAGCGUCGAGAGCUGGCGUGCCCGUGCCAGCAGCGUCGAGAGCUGGCGUGCCCGUGCCAGCAGCGUCGAGAGCUGGCGUGCCCGUGCCAGCAGCGUCGAGAGCUGGCGUGCCCGAGCCAGCAGCGUCGAGAGCUGGCGUGCCCGAGCCAGCAGCGGUGGGCGUGCCCGAGCCAGCAGCGGUGGGCGUGCCCGAGCCAGCAGCGGUGGGCGUGCCCGAGCCAGCAGCGGUGAGCGUGCCCGAGCCAGCAGCGGUGAGCGUGCCCGAGCCAGCAGCGGUGAGCGCUGGCGUGCCCGAGCCGGCAAAACAGAAAGCCGUAUUCAAGUCUGCAGUCGUGAGAGCGGAGGAGAGAGCCGCGGCCGACUCUGCAGCAAAGACUCUUGUACAGUCUGUCUCAUCUCGUAAGGAGAUGCCAAUUGUCCUGGCUGCUAAAGCCUUUUCUGAUUAUUUGUCCUGUCUUGUCCAAAUUUUAGAAGUCCCCGUCAGUCCUGUUUUAUCCCCUGACCCUGUCCCCAGAAGUCCUAAGUGUCCAGCCGUUGUCUCCCCGUGUCCUGUUGAUGUGUCCCCGUGUCCUGUUGAUGUGUCCCCGUGUCCUGUUGAUGUGUCCCCAUGUCCAGUAGAUGUUGUCCCCCCGUGUCCAGCUGUCGUCUCCCCGCGUCCCGUAAGUCUUGCCCCGCGUCCCGUAAGUGUUGCCCCGCGUCCCUUGUCUGCUCCUAUCAUGUCCCCUGUCAGUUGUCCCGAGACCCCUCCCCGCCCCUCACCACCCAGACCUGCCCGUACCCCCCGUCGUCAGCCUUCGUCCUGUCCUCCUAAGAUUCCUGCACCACCCACCCACCCUGGUCUGUCCCCCAUGAACUUUGUGGUCCCGCCUCCUCCCCUUCCCUGUUUGUUUUUUUUGAUUUGUCACCCUAACCCUGCCGUUGUGUACUCAUGUUUGCCUUUGUUGUUAUUUGUCAUGUCCUGUUGGUUUGUGUCUGUGUCCCAGUCUGUCAUGUCAGUCGUGUCCCGUGUUUGA